Molecule: ribosomal RNA, 549 nt
Filed under: Microbacterium sp.
Lineage: Bacteria; Bacillati; Actinomycetota; Actinomycetes; Micrococcales; Microbacteriaceae
Description: bacterial SSU rRNA
Rfam family: Bacterial small subunit ribosomal RNA
Source: RNAcentral
CAGCUUGUUGGUGAGGUAAUGGCUCACCAAGGCGUCGACGGGUAGCCGGCCUGAGAGGGUGACCGGCCACACUGGGACUGAGACACGGCCCAGACUCCUACGGGAGGCAGCAGUGGGGAAUAUUGCACAAUGGGCGGAAGCCUGAUGCAGCAACGCCGCGUGAGGGAUGACGGCCUUCGGGUUGUAAACCUCUUUUAGCAGGGAAGAAGCGAAAGUGACGGUACCUGCAGAAAAAGCGCCGGCUAACUACGUGCCAGCAGCCGCGGUAAUACGUAGGGCGCAAGCGUUAUCCGGAAUUAUUGGGCGUAAAGAGCUCGUAGGCGGUUUGUCGCGUCUGCUGUGAAAUCCCGAGGCUCAACCUCGGGCCUGCAGUGGGUACGGGCAGACUAGAGUGCGGUAGGGGAGAUUGGAAUUCCUGGUGUAGCGGUGGAAUGCGCAGAUAUCAGGAGGAACACCGAUGGCGAAGGCAGAUCUCUGGGCCGUAACUGACGCUGAGGAGCGAAAGGGUGGGGAGCAAACAGGCUUAGAUACCCUGGUAGUCCACCCCGU